GCUACGUGCCAGCAGCCGCGGUAAUACGUAGGGCGCGAGCGUUGUCCGGAAUUAUUGGGCGUAAAGAGCUUGUAGGCGGUUUGUCGCGUCUGCUGUGAAAGGCCGGGGCUUAACUCCGUGUAUUGCAGUGGGUACGGGCAGACUAGAGUGCAGUAGGGGAGACUGGAACUCCUGGUGUAGCGGUGGAAUGCGCAGAUAUCAGGAAGAACACCGAUGGCGAAGGCAGGUCUCUGGGCUGUAACUGACGCUGAGAAGCGAAAGCAUGGGGAGCGAACAGGAUUAGAUACCCUGGUAGUCCAUGCCGUAAACGUUGGGCACUAGGUGUGGGGGACAUUCCACGUUUUCCGCGCCGUAGCUAACGCAUUAAGUGCCCCGCCUGGGGAGUACGGCCGCAAGGCUAAAACUCAAAGAAAUUGACGGGGGCCCGCACAAGCGGCGGAGCAUGCGGAUUAAUUCGAUGCAACGCGAAGAACCUUACCAAGGCUUGACAU
Molecule: ribosomal RNA, 491 nt
Filed under: uncultured bacterium
Lineage: Bacteria
Description: bacterial SSU rRNA
Rfam family: Bacterial small subunit ribosomal RNA
Source: RNAcentral